UAGUCCACGCCGUAAACGAUGGAUACUAGGUGUCCGGGAUAUUAACCUCCUGGGUACUACAGUUAACGCGUUAAGCAUCCCGCCUGGGGAGUACGGUCGCAAGGCUAAAACUCAAAGGAAUUGACGGGGGCCCGCACAAGCGGUGGAGUAUGUGGUUUAAUUCGAAGCAACGCGCAGAACCUUACCUACCCUUAACAUUUCACGACGUAUACAGAGAUGUAUAUUUCUCUUCGGAGACGUGAGGAUAGGUGCUGCAUGGCUGUCGUCAGCUCGUGUCGUAAGAUGUCUGGUUAAGUCCAAUAACGAGCGCAACCCUUGUCCUUAUUUGCCAGCGGGUCAUGCCGGGAACUUUAAGGAGACUGCCGGUGAUAAACCGGAGGAAGGUGGGGACGAUGUCAAGUCAUCAUGGCCUUUAUGAGUAGGGCUACACACGUGCUACAAUGGGCGGUACAAAGGGUUGCCAAACCGUGAGGUGGAGCUAAUCUCAAAAAACCGUUCUCAGUCCGGAUUGGAGUCUGCAACUCGACUCC
This 530-nucleotide ribosomal RNA is filed under the name uncultured bacterium. RNAcentral describes it as "bacterial SSU rRNA". It matches the Rfam family "Bacterial small subunit ribosomal RNA", at positions 791 to 1319 of the family's 1533-position model. The record is from RNAcentral.